UUUAGGGCCGCACCUGUGGCUUAUGGAGGUUCCCAGGCUAAGGAUCAAAUAGGAGCUACAGCUGCCAGCCUACACCCCAGCCCACAGCUACAAUAAUGCAGGAUCCCAGCCAUGUCUGUAACCUAUACCACAGCUCACCGCAAUCCCGGAUCCUUAAGCCACUGAGCAAGCAAGGCCAGGGAUGGACGAAAACAACCUCAUGGUUCCUAGCUGGAUUCAUUUCCACUACGCCAUGGAGGGAACUCCAACUCUGUCAUUCUUGACUCAAGGCAAAGAGUAUUUAAACAGCCUUAGAUCCCAAUACUGAUUUCUGGGCCCCUGUGGCUCUCUUGAAUAAAAAUCCUAGCUUAGGGGAAGUAGAAGAGGAUUUUUCCUUAAAUUUGGGCCCAUAUUUAUGAACUUAGACCUGGGCUCUUGAAUAAAUUUGUUUUUUUCUCUUCCUUUUUUUUAAAAAACUGCUUUUACUAUUACCAUGGCACAAUUAUAAUAAGAUUUCUUUCUUUCUUUCUUUUGAUCUUUUUAGGGCACACCCAUGGCAUAUGGAGGUUCCCAGGCUAGGGAUCAAAUCGGAGCUAUAGCCACUGGCCUACGCCACAGCCACAGCAAAGCAGGAUCCCAGCCAUGUCUGCAGCCUACAUCACAGCUCAUGGCAGUGCCGGAUCCUUAACCCACUGAGCAAAUCCAGGGAUCCAUCCGGCAAUUUCAUGGUUCCUAGUCAGAUUUGUUUCUGCCAAGCCACCUUGGGAACUCCCUAAAAUGUGAGUUUCUUUAUCACAAGGUUGAUGAAAUGAACUGAGUCAGCCUGCAUCGUAGCUGGGCAACUGGCAUUCCAAAGCCUGGGAGACAGUUGCCAAUAGCAUUGCAUCUGAAAUUCAUAUUAUUACGGGGCUUACUUAUAUUUUUGUGUAUUAUCAUCUCAUUUAAUUUUCUUUUUUUAUCUCAUUUAAUUUUCACUAAACCCCAUAAGAAAAAUAUGACUAUUAUAUACAUUUGCAAGAUAACAAUGUUGCAGUUUAGAGAAGUCCCUUGCCCAUGAGUGCAGAUCACUUUUUGUUUCUAGCCCAGAUAUGACUCACUGGACUGCCAUAGAUUUUAUCCACCAUAUUAAAAUUUGCUGCCUUUGUCACUCUCCUUAAAGACUAAGAGCCUUAACGUUGAACCCUAGCCUGGUACAAACAGAAGAUAGACUUUCCUGAUAACACCAGCAGCCCAAAAGACCCCAGAGGAGAGUCUGUCCCCUCCACCCCACUGUCAAGGUCUGUUUGUCCCUUCCAGGAAUGACCUGCCUCCUUUGCUGAGUAUGGCUCCAGGCACACUAGGUGGUGCUGACACUUAAACUGUGUGACCUUAGCUGAGUAACUUGGCCUCUCUGACUUCAGCUUCCUCUUCUGCCAGAUGAAUAUAUUGAUGAUGGUCAUGCUCUCCGGUCAUGUAGAUGACAAAGAAUACACAUGUAACCCCUGCACUGGUACCUAGGUGCUCACUUGAUAAAUGGCACCAUCCUUCCUUUUGCCAGUGCAACUACCAGCUACUUGUCCACUGCUCAGUGUGCUUAUUUUCCAGCUCUCAGUUGAUGAGUAUCAUGCUAGCCUUGAAAUUUUUCCUUGAUGGUGUUUAUUCUUUGCUACUAAGAAAGAAAAUCAUUCAAGUUCCAAAACCCUGAGAUACAAUAGGUGGUCAUUGUUAGGACAAGUUUCUAUUGUCUAUCACAACACUAACUUUAAAAAAUAUAUCCUGGUGUUUUGCGGUGGGGAGAGAAGAGCCAAUAUUCUGUGAAAUAUUUUUUGACAGUUUUAAUGGAUGACCUAAAAUUUAGUAAAGU
This 1822-nucleotide long non-coding RNA is filed under the name Sus scrofa (pig). RNAcentral's name for it is "lncRNA (ENSSSCG00000061457.1)". The record is from RNAcentral. Lineage: Eukaryota; Metazoa; Chordata; Mammalia; Artiodactyla; Suidae.